UACGGAGGGGGCUAGCGUUGUUCGGAAUGACUGGGCGUAAAGCGCGCGUAGGCGGAUCGGAAAGUUGGGGGUGAAAUCCCGGGGCUCAACCUCGGAAUGGCCUUCAAAACUCCUGGUCUUGAGUUCGAGAGAGGUGAGUGGAAUUCCGAGUGUAGAGGUGAAAUUCGUAGAUAUUCGGAGGAACACCAGUGGCGAAGGCGGCUCACUGGCUCGACACUGACGCUGAGGUGCGAAAGCGUGGGGAGCAAACAGG
Molecule: ribosomal RNA, 253 nt
Filed under: uncultured bacterium
Lineage: Bacteria
Description: partial 16S ribosomal RNA
Rfam family: Bacterial small subunit ribosomal RNA
Source: RNAcentral